GAUGAACGCUGGCGGCGUGCCUAAUACAUGCAAGUCGAGCGAACAGACGAGGAGCUUGCUCCUCUGACGUUAGCGGCGGACGGGUGAGUAACACGUGGAUAACCUACCUAUAAGACUGGUAUAACUUCGGGAAACCGGAGCUAAUACCGUAUAAUAUAUUGAACCGCAGUGUUCAAUAGUGAAAUACGGUUUUGCUGUCACUUAUAGAUGGAUCCGCGCCUCAUUAGCUAGUUGGUAAGUUAAUGGCUUACCAAGGCAACGAUGCGUAGCCGACCUGAGAGGGUGGUAGGCCACACUGGAAAUGAGACACGGUCAAGACUCCUACGGGAGGCAGCAGUAGGGAAUCUUCGGCAAUGGGCGAAAGCCUGACGGAGCAACGCCGCGUGAGUGAUGAAGGUCUUCGGAUCGUAAAACUCUGUUAUUAGGGAAGAACAAAUGUGUAAGUAACUAUGCACGUCUUGACGGUACCUAAUCAGAAAGCCACGGCUAACUACGUG
RNAcentral lists this ribosomal RNA (497 nucleotides) under uncultured bacterium. Its description in RNAcentral is "partial 16S ribosomal RNA". It matches the Rfam family "Bacterial small subunit ribosomal RNA", at positions 28 to 507 of the family's 1533-position model. The record is from RNAcentral.